GAAUUUUAUAUAAAUUUUAUUUGGAUGGAUUAAGGAAUAAGAUUUUUAUUUUAUUGGGAGGAUAGUUAAAUUAGAUAAACUUUAAUAGAUUUAAGUCAUUAAUGUAUGAAAUGAUUGAUGAGUGAUUAGUAAGUUUUAAUAGAAUUAAUUACCUUAGGGAUAACAGCGUAAUAUCUUUGGAGAGAUCUUAUUGAUAAAGAUGAUUGU
RNAcentral lists this ribosomal RNA (207 nucleotides) under Pheidole nana. RNAcentral describes it as "partial large subunit ribosomal RNA". The record is from RNAcentral. Lineage: Eukaryota; Metazoa; Arthropoda; Insecta; Hymenoptera; Formicidae.